AAGUUAAAUGCCGGCCAAACCCUGUAUUCUGUGAAACAAAAAAUGAGAUUUUCUUUAUUGGCACGCCAAAAAGAAUUCUCAAAAAGAUGGAAAAAAAUGUACCAUUUGAUGCAUUUUCCACAAAAAGCCAAACCAUUUUUGCUCUGACCAUCAACUCAUUCAUCCAUGACUGGAGAAAGUAACGGCAAGUUAGAGAAGAAAGCUUCCAAAUUCCCCACCACAAGUUCACUCAAAGCCAGGAAAGAUUCGGGUGUAAAGACAGCAUUAUGGGGAGAUAAAACAACAUUUUCCAAUUCAAGGAGCUGUUUAGGAAUAUCAGGCUCCUUCUCAAACACAUCCAACCCUGCACCCGCAAUCUCUCCUUCCACCAAACACCUCACCAAUUCCUUCUCAUCAAUGAUAGCUCCACGUCCAAUGUUAACUAUGACUCCUUCUUUUCCUAAUGCACUCAAGACUUCCUUGUUGAUCAUGUGGCGGGGUUGAUCCGUCAAGGCACAACAAAUAAUGAGAGCAUCACUAUCAGCUGCGAGUUCACAAAUAUUGGAAUAGAAUGGGUAUGAAACAAACGUCUUUUUCUUUCUUGAAUUGUAAGAAAUAAUGCAGCCAAAAGCCUCCAGUCUUUUAGCAACUUGUAAGCCUAUGCCUCCCAAUCCAACUAUCCCAAUUCGCUUCCCUCCCAGCUUAGAACCAAGAGCAUAGUCCCCUUUCUUGACCCAAAGGCCCUGCCUCACGUACCGAUCAGCAGCGGAAAUCUUUCUCAAAACAUCAAACAACAAACCCACCGCAGCGUCCGCACCGUCGUCCGAAAACACGUUCCCGGCAUUGGUGACCGAAAUUCCCCGUCGGCAACAGGCCAUUAGGUCGAUGUGGUUGGUACCAGCACUGGCAGCGACAACUAAUCUCACCGAGGGAAGUAACUGGAGUAGGUCGUCAGUGACAGGAGCAGCACCAGAGCAGAGAAUGGCUUGGAUAGAAUUGGCAUAUUUGGUGAGGAACUGGUAAAGAGGAAGCGGCGAUUCCCAUGCUUUCAAGAACUGAUAUUUGUUUGAUGAAAAUUGAUGCUCUCCAAGAACCGCCAACUGGGGUUGGUUUUAAGAGCAGGACUUGUGGGAGAUCUUCGGAUUGGUGAUUCUGAUUGUGAUCUUUAUUUUCCAUAAAUUGUGAUCUUGAAAAAAUG
RNAcentral lists this unclassified non-coding RNA (1177 nucleotides) under Hevea brasiliensis (rubber tree). Lineage: Eukaryota; Viridiplantae; Streptophyta; Magnoliopsida; Malpighiales; Euphorbiaceae. The record is from RNAcentral.